This 272-nucleotide long non-coding RNA is filed under the name Lathyrus oleraceus (garden pea). Its description in RNAcentral is "Pisum sativum (pea) long non-coding RNA (PSAT_LNC002574)". The record is from RNAcentral. Lineage: Eukaryota; Viridiplantae; Streptophyta; Magnoliopsida; Fabales; Fabaceae.
CCAAAAAAUUUCUGUUAUAUUUUAUUUAUUUAUUUACUUAUUUUUUUUUGUUUUUUUUUUGUUUUUUUUUCGUUUUCGUUUUUCGUUCUUUUUUUUUUAAACACGUGGGCUUCGCCUAGCGAGCAUGACAGUUCAAGAAAUUUCUCUGAGCGUAGGUGAUUCUGGUGGCUUUUCUUGGGACUCGCUAGGCAACCCAUUCUGCUCGCCUAGCGAGCAUGACAACUCAUGAACAAACUUUUGCUCCUUCAAGAUUAACGUUUUGACUGACAAAU